This is a long non-coding RNA of Myotis daubentonii (Daubenton's bat), 890 nucleotides long. RefSeq lists it as uncharacterized. The record is from RefSeq and is a predicted model, not a curated record. The transcript is spliced from 4 exons. NCBI's taxonomy places the organism in Eukaryota, Metazoa, Chordata, Mammalia, Chiroptera, Vespertilionidae.
AUUUUUCUCCCUCCAGGAUGAAGGCGGGUGUGGCGCCCGGGGUGCAUGAGGCUGCGCUGGCCGCUCUCGGGAACGGGUUGGGGGCCCUUCUUUGUUUUCUUUUUUUUUUUAAGCCUUUAAGAGGAAGCUGCCCUUGAUUUUUCUCUCUUCUGCUUUGAGCUUUGCGGAGGACUUGCUGGUGGCCCCUGGGCUACUUCAGUGUGGAGUCAGCCGCAGCACUGUGUGUCCCACGGAGGAGGAUGAGAGGUGGAGACAGGUAAGUAACACCAGCCACCUGUUACCUGCGUUCAGGCCUGCUGGCCGCUGCCUGAAUCGUGGCCGCGAAGUGAGGGCAAAGAAAGAGCAAAAAGACCACCCUGCGGACAAGAAGGACACUGGAAAAGGAAUGCCCUGCGAAGGGGCCUACUCAAAAAUCAUGCUAGUGUGACUGCUAAAAGAUGGACUGUUCCGGGAGCUAGAGGAUCUCCAGACAAGAACCUACCCACACUAUGGCUUCGAACUGAAGGGGCCCUAUGUUCCAGUUAGCUCCUACUAAGAACAUCAAAAUUGAAUUGACAGAGCCUUGGGUGACGCUUAAUGUGACAGCCUCCUAAAAGUGGUCAAGGACACCAAAGGAAUGAUUCAUGUUAUCUCUGUUAUGCCUCUUAAAAAUUUUACACUGGGAAGGAACAUACAAAGAUCCAUAGCCAAGUUCAAAUGGAAAAUUCUCUCCUAAGUAACAAGUAUCCUGUCCAUGACAGUGGACAAGCCUAGUGUAAUAGUUCCCUAUUGGAGACAUCUGGUGGUAGAACUUCAGAUGUUUGUGAUCCACACAUUGAGUCAUUUAUAAAUUGUUUCCAGUACUCAAUGUACACUUCUAAUAAGCUAUGUGCAGCAUUUUAAAAUCUUGC